CUUGUGAAAGAAAGUGUAGAAGUUGCCGUUGUGGGUCAGUCCUCCUUAACCCACUGAGCGAGGCCAGGGAUUGAACCUGCAUCCUCAUGGAUGCUAGUCAGAUUCCUUUCUGCUGAGCCAUGAAGGGAAUUCCAAAGCAGUGUCUUUUUGACAUUAGUCUUACUCAGGCCACUUCAGCCAGUCAUCUCACAAAUGAGUAUUGAUGGUUUUAUGUGGAGCUAGAUGAGAUGCUGGGUGAGGGCCUUUCCCUAUUGGUCCUAAAAUGACACCUUGGAGCACAUCUCAAUGGCCAGCAGCAUUAUCUUUGCUUGGCGAGACCAGUCCAUGGGGUAGGAAGUACCCUUUGGUGAGCAUCUGCUCUGAAGACUUUACUGAUGUUCACGGGUAGUUCUAAGUCCAAGAGCAAAUGACAACAUGAGAGGAUCUCAGCUCUUCUAGGAUAGUUUCCUCUCACUGAGCUACCUUUGCCCCUGGGAUUGGAAGAGUCAAUCAAACUUGUGACUUGGGUCAUCUGGAAGGGAAGUAUUGAGUGGGGUUACACACUAUAAAGAUAUUUCCACUUCCCAGUAGAAUAUACUCCAAGGUUAUAGACACAUUUAACACAAGGGCAAAAAAAAAAAAAAGUCAAGACUUCAGUUUAAUUCUUCUUUAUUUCUGCUCUUUGAACACUAAAAUUGUGUUUUCUUCACUUAGAAUUUUUCAGUGAAGGUUAGGGGCUUAUCAGAACUUCCUUUCCAUUCUGGCACUGGUUUAAUUUUGUAGGGUUAUUUUAAUGGAGUUGUUUCCCAAUUAAGCAAAAAUUUUCAGGAACAUCUCUGUGUUUAAGGUAGCUUAAUAUACCUAUAAAAAGCCAAGAGCUAUUCAAACCGGCUGGUUAUGAGUUCCUCAUGAGAUGGGUAAUGGUGAGUUCAAUACUGACAUUGGCAGUUUCUUUAAAAAUGGAGAAAUGUACCAUGGGGAGUUCCCACUUUGGUACAGUAGGUUAAAAAUCCGACUGCAGCAGCUUGGGUUUCUGCAGAUGUGCGAGUUCAAUCCCUGGCCCAGUGCAGUAGGUUAAAGGAUCUGGCAUUCCUGCAGCUGUGGCUUGGAUUCAGUCCCUGACCUGAAAACUUCCAUGUGCCAUGAGCACUGCCAUUAAAAAAAAAAAAAGAUGGAAAACAAAUGCAUCAUGGAAUUUCUCAAAGUCCUAGAAGCAUAAAAGAAAAGAAUAUUCAAGUUUUCCCACAUGAGCACGGUGGUAGGAAUGGAGGUGAGGCGUUGUCACUUGUAAACCAAAGGAUAUAAGCCAAGUGAGAAAUCACUUGGGGUGCAGCUGAGAUCAGUAUCAUAUGGUGAAACUCACUGGGAUAUUUUAUUUCUUGUUUGGGGACAGAUGGACAAGAAGAUUUUCUCCAGCAAAGCUAAGCCUCUCCAUGUUCCCUAAAAGCUUAGAGGUAUUAUCUUCAACUCACCCCAAGCCAGGAAAUAGAACAACACACAUUUUUUGGUGUCCAAGGGGCCAGUGCUUGCAUUUGUCCAGUGAGGGAAUUGGCCCUUCUACACAACUUGUGAACUGAUACUCCUGCAGCAUGUUUGGUCCUUCCAGAGUCUUCUUUCUGAAGCCUUUUUGGACAACUACAGAUGUGGUUCUUUAAAAGCUGCCUGCAAGACAAGGUCCACUGAUGGGUGCUAAAAUUAGCAGGUGAACAUUUGUGGAGAAACAGGCUAUAUGUCUAAAGGUAUUUAUAAAUUACAAAAGGAAAAACAGUAACUUAUUGUGUGGCCAACAUAACAGUCACACCAGAAGCAGGUGAUCAGUGUUACUGUCGCUAAUAAUCAGGCAUAUCAACACCAUUUACCCUCUGAUACGAUGUCCUGAGAAGGGUCUGUUAUCAUCUCUCUGCUUUACCUUAAUUAUGAGAAAACAUCAGACAAACCCAAACGGAGGGACCGUCUGUAAGUUAAAUGGCUAGCACUCUUCAGAAGUGUCAGGGUCAGAAGAGACAAGGUAAAACUGAGGAAGUGUCACACAUUGUCGGUGCCUAAGGAGGGGUAGAUUCUGCAAUGGGAAAAGCAUAUUAGUGGAAAGACUGGUGAAAUCUGAAUAAAUUCUAUAGUUUAUGUAGUAGUACUGUAUCGCUCAUGUUAAUUUUCUGGUUUUGAUGAUUGUACCACAGUUACGGAAGAUGCCAGCACCAGGGAAAGCUGGGUGGAGGGUAUACACGUGUGAAUUCUCUGUACAAUUUUUGUGACUUUUCUCUAAGUCUAAACCUAUCUCUCUAAAUAAAAAGUUAAAAAAUAAGUUUCUUGGGAAAAAAAAAAAAAAACCCAAGCAGCAUCAUAUUGCCCUAUGAAGUGCCUUAGUGCCUCACUGAACCAGAUGGGGGUGCAUAAUUAUCUUCCUUCACAUUCUGUGUUUAAUUUCUACAAGUUGUAACUUGUGCAGCUUUUCAGUCUUGUGGGAAGCCUAGGAAAAUGAUAUUUCAUGUUUCAAGACUGAAAGGGUAAAAUUGAGAAGAGCCUCUCCAACUUGAUUUCACAAGCUUUAUUACUUGUGAGAAAUGUGUCUGUGAACAGGGAGAUACAAAUGAUGUAAAAGAUAUAUAUUUUUAAAGGCUGAAACAGAAGAGAGAAUUUAAGGCAGGAGGAUUGCCAAUUAUUUGAUUUUUUUCCCCUUAAAAGCUGUAUACUUCUUUGCAGUCAGAAUCCGUUUGUUUCAAAUCUUCAUUAAGCAGUGACACCAUUCAUCCAAUGGGUGCAUUGGCAUAAUGAGCUCUCAUAAAUACAGUGUUUGUGAUCUUUCUCGAAUUAUUAGAGUGAGGAAUGGGGGUAUAGUGAAAUCACACAGUACCCCAUCUACUUGGUCUAAAACAUACUUACAUAUGCCAUACCAAAUUAACAUCCUGUCAUAGUUUCUGCUUCCUCUCCACCCCCACCCCGUCUCUCUGUCUCCUCUCCUCUCCUCUCUCUCCUUUCUCUGUCUCACUUUGGUUCUCUCUCUCUUGCACCCACCCCUAAUCCCUAAUUGAGGCAGUUCAGGUCAAAUCAUGAUUGUUAAUGGAAAGAAACCAAGUCAUUUGUCACAGAGCUUAAUUUCGCCUGCACUGCCUGAUUUCCUGCUGUUAUUGUACUUACAGUAGAUGAUAAAAGCAGUUGCUACAGCCUCUUCAUAGGAAAACAAAUCCCAGCUGCAAUCUGAAUCAAAGCACCUGGGGCCGUGGAUCAGCUGGGAUCAAACAGCUGUUUUUCCAGCCUUGUUUUCUCCCCAGGUUCAUUGAGAUACACUGCGCCAUUUUGAAUAAAAGUUAGCUCCCACAUUUCCAAGUAAUGUGUUUGGUCUUAGAUGAGUGAGUAUUUGAGGUCACUCCUGAGAAAGGCCUCAGAGUCCUUUUCUCAUCAUACCACCUCAGAACUCACAGACUCCCUCUGGGUUUCUGAAACUGCAGUUCAUGGGCUUGGAACCACCUGUGUGUUAAGAUAGAGCUUGACUGUGUACACAUUGAAAAUUGGAAAGCCCAUACUGAGAGGCCAGGAGGACAGGUUCUUCUUGUGGGGAAAGGAUAAAAUACUUAACCGAGCAUUUGUAGAAAUGAUAAUUCCCCAGAAUCCCAUGAUUUGAACAAUUUGCUCCAGUUUUCGCCGUGCUAAUGGCCUGUUGACUACAGAGGUGAUGCUGGUUUUGAGACCUUUCUUACAGAUGGAUAAACAAGUAUGAUAGGCAUGUCUUUAGUCAUAAAGGAGGCUCAAAAGUAACCUGAUAGCUGCUGGUCAUGAUCAGCCUUCUGGCGAGACAUCUCCACCCCCAAAACAACCACAUGGGGCUUCCCUGGGGCCACUCUGAAAGGCACAUCACUAAGAGAGUUAUCUUCCCUUUCUGAAAUUCAACCCUGGCCAUGGCUCCAUCUAGGCUGGAGUGUAUGAAUAGGGUGUGUGUGUCCUCUCUCUCUGUGUGAGUGGGGUAAAGUGCUACCUGGCAUGAGAGAGGACAGAGCCUGAGAGGAGAGACUGAGGGAUGCCAGACAUCCCCCAGAUGAAUCAAUUGUAACUUCCAGAACCAUUGCCUUUGAAGACUCGUUCUAGGUUAGAGGUUUCCAAGUCUAGCUGAACACCUAAGUCACCUGCAGAAGCUUUAAAAAUGCAAAUUUCAGGGCUCCAUCCUAGCCUUAGUGGAUCAGAACUUUUAGGGGAAGGGCCAAGGAAAAAGUCUUUCCCAAAAGCCCAGCAGGUGGCUCAGACCAAGGUCUGGGUCUGGAAAUCACUGCUCCUGACCACUAUUAACCAAUCAUUAUCCCCUGUCUUGAUGGGAUACUGUGACUAAGUAAUAAGAAAAAUACCUUAGGGAGUUCCAUGGUGACUUAGUGGUUAAGGAUCUGGCAUUGCUAUUGCUGUGGCUCAGUUUGAUCCCUGGCCUGGGAAUUUGUGUAUGCUGUGGGCACAGCCAAAAAAAAAAAAA
RNAcentral lists this long non-coding RNA (4432 nucleotides) under Sus scrofa (pig). Its description in RNAcentral is "lncRNA (ENSSSCG00055005301.1)". The record is from RNAcentral. Lineage: Eukaryota; Metazoa; Chordata; Mammalia; Artiodactyla; Suidae.